GACACCGAGACACACGACGUCUCACAUACUCACACACGACGUCUCACACACACACGACACAACAUACGACACGUCACACGACACACAAGACGGCAGACGACACGACACCGAAAUCACACACGACACCGACACGCGACACACACACAAGACGGCAGAGGACACGACACCGAAAUCACAACGCUCGAGACGACCCCCAGCGGGUGCGAGAGCGGAGCGGGGACGGGCGGGGUGAACUCGGUCUCUGGGCGGCGCGUGGGGCCGGUGUGGACGGGAGGGAAGAGGGCGGCAGGGCCGAGGGCGAGAUGUGGGAGAGGCAAACAGAGGAGCCUACGAGACGUUGCCGACUGAGAUGGUCACUUCCUUGUUUUUUCCCCUUGUGCUGGGUUUAGUACCAAGGAAAAAGAAGUCAAGCCUCAGAGUCUCCUGCCCUCAUGCGACGGAAAGUGAGUGAGAGCAGCGAGCCUGUGACCGUUGGUGAGGCCAGGCAAGAGGCCUCCAUCUGGGAGCCGAGCAAUCGCCAGUCUCGGUGAGGUGAGGUCUCGGGAGCCAUGGAAAAGUCGGAGCGGACGAAAAUCAUGCAGGGCAGUAGAAAGGCUGCUGAAAGUACCUGAAGAGACAAAGGAAAUGAGAAGGGGGAAGUCCAGACUAAGACAGGAGUCUAGUCUGUAAAGAGAAACAACGGGAAGUCUAAGCUACAGAAACUCUUCAAGUUGCCGAAAGACAUUUAGGAUGGGAAAUAACUUCUUGAAUCCAGUCUCUUUAAGAUCUUAGGCUUAGUAUGCGUGUGUAUUUGUAUUUGCUUAGUAAUCUGCCUUCUUCUGUUUGCUAUCCCUUAUAAUCACUGAAAAUCUACCUUUUCUAGUGAAACUAUUUUUUGUUUAUUAUUAGUAUUAAACUGAGUUUGUGCAACUGGU
This is a long non-coding RNA of Chelonia mydas (Green sea turtle), 914 nucleotides long. RefSeq lists it as uncharacterized. The transcript is spliced from 2 exons. NCBI's taxonomy places the organism in Eukaryota, Metazoa, Chordata, Testudines, Cheloniidae. The record is from RefSeq and is a predicted model, not a curated record.